This 317-nucleotide unclassified non-coding RNA is filed under the name Hevea brasiliensis (rubber tree). The record is from RNAcentral. Lineage: Eukaryota; Viridiplantae; Streptophyta; Magnoliopsida; Malpighiales; Euphorbiaceae.
UGCUAAAAUAGGAAAUUAUAAACUUCCUAAAUCAAUUAAGAUAUGGUUCACUUAAAUAAUUUCUCACCCAAUGCUUACAUAAGAAUUUGCCACCUUCACUUCAAUGUUGCCACAAACACAAACAAAAUGUUAAAUAUCAAUCAUACAAACCUAAUCCCCAGAAUUAAAAGGUCAAUUCAGUUUCUUUUCUUUAUCCUUCGAUGUAUAUUGUCCAGACAACAUCCAUUGGCGUGCAUUGGUGUAAAAAACAAACAAUACGAAGUGAGAAAAGCAGAGAAGCAUAAUCAUUGCUUCAAAAAGGAAAGGAUACUUCUUUG